CACAGCAGAGAGCCCAGGACAGUGACGGGGAAGUGAGGAGCACAGGAUGGGCGUCACAUGUGCCUCUUCUGCUAGCCUCCUUCUAGCUCCGUGGUGACUCUAACACCACCUAACUGGAGCUCCAGGGAGCGAACCUGCCUCUGUUGGGAAAGGCCAGAGGCUCCUCUGUGCCCUGCCCUUGGGAGAACAGGUUAGAUCUACCUAGGGGCCCAGCACCCUGUAUCCUCCUCUCCCGGGGCAGGUGCUGGGGUGUUUCCGCUGCCGCAGAAGAUGCCAUGCCUGGCCUUGGGCUUGUGCGUUUGACGUCAAUGGUCUUGGCGGGCUGCACGCAGGCGCAUCUGAUCUCGGGAGGGCAGACCUGCAGCUGCCAGAGAGGUGGCCUCAGCCCCUCCUGUGGUCCCCAGAGGUAUUGUAAUCCCAAACACGAAUAUUGUAAUCCAAGUACUGUAAUCCUUUUUUGGUCUUCCUCACAACUCAAAAAUUUUAUAUUUGUAAUCCCACUGGAAAGUUAUUGGAAUCCGAGCAAGUUAAUUCCAAUCCACCACCUCCAAAGCGACCCACAGCAUGAGGGAAGACAGCAAGAUAUUUGCAGAGUUAAGGGCAGCCAAGGGUUCCUGAGUCCAAUCCCUGUGAGGCUGUGUGGACCGAGGCUCUCAGGAUUUACUAUCCUGUGAAGAAGGGCGUAGCUCGAGGAUGAGCCACUGUAAGGAUGGCAGGAACUCCGAGAGUAACCUGAGCUGGCCAGGUGGGGAGAAAAGCAUCUCUGCAAAGUGCAGGGAGAAAGACAUGGAGAAAGGUCAGUCUGCAUGACUCAAGAAAGGUAGCAACUGAGUGGUUUUGGGGGCUUUGCUUCCGUUUCUGACAUGUAAACUUCUGUGCGCUGGGGUGUCACAGCCUCUGUAUCCGAUCCUCACGCCCAGCUGACAUUCCCGGAGCUGACUGGCUCUGCCAUCCCGCCGCGCUCAGAUCUGGGGACACGUCUUUUACAGAGCAUGAGGAAACCCAAGUCCGUCAGAAUGGCCUCAGCCGGCCUUGGCUGCACUGCCUGGAGCCAACUGAAGAGAGAAAAAAACAGCACAGCCAGCUCAGUGUAAGGAAAUGAGCCGUGACUUGACUGACAGGGCAGCAAUCACUGCAUUGCCGGAGAGGCGCCCAGCUCGUCUUCUACACAGGUGGGCGUCCAUGCAGAGGCCACAGCCUUUCUGGGUGUGCAGAAGCCCAUUGCCCUUCCAUCAGCGUGCAUU
This 1244-nucleotide long non-coding RNA is filed under the name Cavia porcellus (domestic guinea pig). RNAcentral describes it as "lncRNA (ENSCPOG00000036323.1)". The record is from RNAcentral. Lineage: Eukaryota; Metazoa; Chordata; Mammalia; Rodentia; Caviidae.